Molecule: ribosomal RNA, 463 nt
Filed under: uncultured bacterium
Lineage: Bacteria
Description: bacterial SSU rRNA
Rfam family: Bacterial small subunit ribosomal RNA
Source: RNAcentral
CCUACGGGGCGCAGCAGUGGGGAAUAUUGCACAAUGGGCGCAAGCCUGAUGCAGCCAUGCCGCGUGUAUGAAGAAGGCCUUCGGGUUGUAAAGUACCUUCAGCGGGGAGGAAGGCGAUAAGGUUAAUAACCUUGUCGAUUGACGUUACCCGCAGAAGAAGCACCGGCUAAGUCCGUGCCAGCAGCCGCGGUAAUACGGAGGGUGCAAGCGUUAAUCGGAAUUACUGGGCGUAAAGCGCACGCAGGCGGUCUGUCAAGUCGGAUGUGAAAUCCCCGGGCUCAACCUGGGAACUGCAUUCGAAACUGGCAGGCUAGGGUCUUGUAGAGGGGGGUAGAAUUCCAGGUGUAGCGGUGGAAUGCGUAGAGAUCUGGAGGAAUACCGGUGGCGAAGGCGGCCCCCUGGACAAAGACUGACGCUCAGGUGCGAAAGCGUGGGGAGCAAACAGGAUUAGAUACCCCGGUAG